RNAcentral lists this non-coding RNA (93 nucleotides) under Streptomyces sp. RNAcentral's name for it is "Glycine sequence". It matches the Rfam family "Glycine riboswitch aptamer". From Rfam's summary of the family: This family represents the bacterial glycine riboswitch. Glycine riboswitches usually consist of two metabolite-binding aptamers domains with similar structures in tandem. Lineage: Bacteria; Bacillati; Actinomycetota; Actinomycetes; Kitasatosporales; Streptomycetaceae. RNAcentral also lists the same sequence under 1 other name. The record is from RNAcentral.
UGAAUCCGCGCGGGAGAGACCCCGGAACACCGGGGCGCCGAAGGAGCAAGUACCUCCCUUGAAUCUCUCAGGCCCCGUUACCGCGCGGGCGAG